Molecule: ribosomal RNA, 467 nt
Filed under: uncultured bacterium
Lineage: Bacteria
Description: partial 16S ribosomal RNA
Rfam family: Bacterial small subunit ribosomal RNA
Source: RNAcentral
GAUGAACGCUGGCGGCGUGCUUAACACAUGCAAGUCGAGCGGAAAGGCUCCUGCUUGCAGGGGUACUCGAGUGGCGAACGGGUGAGUAACACGUGGGUGAUCUGCCCUGCACUUCGGGAUAAGCCUGGGAAACUGGGUCUAAUACCGGAUAGGACCACAUUUUGGAUGGUGUGGUGGAAAGUUUUUCGGUGUGGGAUGAGCUCGCGGCCUAUCAGCUUGUUGGUGGGGUAAUGGCCUACCAAGGCGUCGACGGGUAGCCGGCCUGAGAGGGUGUACGGCCACAUUGGGACUGAGAUACGGCCCAGACUCCUACGGGAGGCAGCAGUGGGGAAUAUUGCACAAUGGGCGCAAGCCUGAUGCAGCGACGCCGCGUGGGGGAUGACGGCCUUCGGGUUGUAAACUCCUUUCGCUAGGGACGAAGCGUUUUUGUGACGGUACCUGGAGAAGAAGCACCGGCUAACUACGUG